UUGGAGGCAGGGGUUUU
Molecule: microRNA, 17 nt
Filed under: Macrophomina phaseolina MS6
Lineage: Eukaryota; Fungi; Ascomycota; Dothideomycetes; Botryosphaeriales; Botryosphaeriaceae
Description: miR-4443
Source: RNAcentral